This is a long non-coding RNA of Exaiptasia diaphana, 392 nucleotides long. RefSeq lists it as uncharacterized. The record is from RefSeq and is a predicted model, not a curated record. NCBI's taxonomy places the organism in Eukaryota, Metazoa, Cnidaria, Anthozoa, Actiniaria, Aiptasiidae. The transcript is spliced from 2 exons.
AGAAUUUAUCGUUGGGACGAGCUGAGGGAUCAAACGCGAAUUCAUUUUGUUUUGCUCUUGUUGCUGUCAUUGGUGAUCAAGCCCGUCUAAAUGACCCGAACAAGCGUGUUCAUUCUGCUGGUUGCUUUUAGUACGAUUUUGAAUUGGAACUCUAAUCUGGUAGAUGGACGAAGGUUGCCACCCCCUGCAUACUGGAAAAAAAUGAAUGAGAUAAGCAGGAAUCCGGGGGAUGCUAAAAGGGAUGAAAACAGUGUUCAAGACAUGAAGAGGGCAUCGCUGGAAAAGAUGAUAAAGUAGUCAUGAUUGAAUUAAAAUCAUUUUAACGAGCUAACUAGACAGUUGGAUUGAAUUGUAUGAAUUAGUUCUCAAAAUAAAAAGUUGUCUUAAAUGUA